AUACGUAGGUGGCAAGCGUUGUCCGGAAUUAUUGGGCGUAAAGCGCAUGUAGGCGGUUUGCUAAGCGGGAGGUGAAAUGCCGGCGCUCAACGUCGGAAGUGCCUCCCGAACUGGUGGACUUGAAUGACUCUGCCGUGGGAGGAAUGUGUAGUGUAGCGGUGAAAUGCUUAGAGAUUACACAGAACACCGAUUGCGAAGGCAUCUCACGAAGGGUUGAUUGACGCUGAGGCACGAAAGCGUGGGGAUCAAACAGGAUUAGAUACCCUGGUAGUCCACGCAGUAAACGAUGAUGGCUAACCGCUGGGCUUAUCAGUUCAGUGGCCAAGCGAAAGCGAUAAGCCAUCCACCUGGGGAGUACGACCGCAAGGUUGAAACUCAAAGGAAUUGACGGGG
Molecule: ribosomal RNA, 393 nt
Filed under: uncultured bacterium
Lineage: Bacteria
Description: partial 16S ribosomal RNA
Rfam family: Bacterial small subunit ribosomal RNA
Source: RNAcentral